RNAcentral lists this ribosomal RNA (305 nucleotides) under uncultured bacterium. RNAcentral's name for it is "bacterial SSU rRNA". It matches the Rfam family "Bacterial small subunit ribosomal RNA", at positions 335 to 637 of the family's 1533-position model. The record is from RNAcentral.
UGUCCUACGGGGCGCAGCAGUGAGGAAUAUUGGUCAAUGGGCGAGAGCCUGAACCAGCCAAGUCGCGUGAAGGAUGACGGCCCUACGGGUUGUAAACUUCUUUUGUCAGGGAGCAAUUGGGUCCACGCGUGGGCUUAGCGAGAGUACCUGAAGAAAAAGCAUCGGCUAACUCCGUGCCAGCAGCCGCGGUAAUACGGAGGAUCCGAGCGUUAUCCGGAUUUAUUGGGUUUAAAGGGUGCGUAGGCGGGCUUUUAAGUCAGCGGUAAAAAUUCGGGGCUCAACCCCGUCCGGCCGUUGAAACUGGG